ACUCCUCCCUGGUACGCCUCCAGUCCCUUAGUCGCCAUGAUGCCACAGCUGGAACAGGUUGAGACUGCGUUUACACACUUCUGAAUGACAUCUAUUGGUCAAGAUGCCUGAUAAAAACCCACAAACUCAGACUGGACAGUAGAUCACCCAGCACACAGUCUGUUUACCAUACUGACAUCUGGAAAGUGGUAUCGCAGCAUCAUGUCCAGAACAAAGAGGCUAAAUAACAGCUUUUACCCACAGGCUAUAAGGCUAUUGAACAUGCCAGAAAGCUGUCAAUAUAACCCUGAUAUCAUUGUCACCAGCCCCUUUACUUUUGUUCUAUACUGUAUUUGCUGUAUUUGUACUGCUAUGGAAACUGUCACCAAGCUCUUUUAACGUAAAAGAAAGAACUUUCAUUCACACGUUUACACUGUGCAUAAUAAAUGUCAAAGCUGUUAUACACUA
Molecule: long non-coding RNA, 447 nt
Organism: Astyanax mexicanus (Mexican tetra)
Lineage: Eukaryota; Metazoa; Chordata; Actinopteri; Characiformes; Acestrorhamphidae
Exons: 2
Source: RefSeq, a predicted model, not a curated record